Pelobates cultripes (western spadefoot toad) is the source of this 220-nucleotide non-coding RNA. The record is from the annotation of a GenBank genome assembly. NCBI's taxonomy places the organism in Eukaryota, Metazoa, Chordata, Amphibia, Anura, Pelobatidae.
CCUCCAUUCUCUAUCACCAUCUGCCAUUUGACCCUCUCCCACAUAUUAUUUAGGCAUCUCUAGGGCUGCCAUCAGUGGGGUGUCUGGAUAUAUUUGUGCCUAUAUUUGUGUGUCUGCUAGUGUGUGUUUGUACAUGUGUCUGGCAGUUUGUAUUUGUGUACAAGAGGGUGUAUAUGGCAGUGUUUAAAUGUUCAUGUGUCUGUCAGAGUGUAUCUGUGUG